GAGAAGAAAGCAUUAAAUAUGCGGUUAAUUUGAAAUUAGCAGAUGGCAACCAUAUAUCUGCCUUUUCUCG
RNAcentral lists this transfer RNA (70 nucleotides) under Bungarus multicinctus (many-banded krait). RNAcentral describes it as "tRNA-Ser". The record is from RNAcentral. Lineage: Eukaryota; Metazoa; Chordata; Lepidosauria; Squamata; Elapidae.